RNAcentral lists this long non-coding RNA (214 nucleotides) under Elaeis guineensis (African oil palm). Its description in RNAcentral is "long non-coding RNA (EGUI_LNC010433)". The record is from RNAcentral. Lineage: Eukaryota; Viridiplantae; Streptophyta; Magnoliopsida; Arecales; Arecaceae.
ACUAAGUUCUUUCACAUAUGUACAUCCAAUAGAAGAGGAAAAAUCAUAUCGCAGAAAUACAGAAAGAUGGCAAAGUCUUUGACAAUCAAGCUGACAUUCGAUCAGAAAGGUUUCUUAGACUUCUAUUCAGCGAUCUUGGGAUCCAACAAAGACUCAUUGGUGGAUGCAGAAUGGGAGAAACUUUAUCUAGAAAACCAAACAGAUCUCAGCCCCC